AGUUACACUCUGUUGAUUCAAAAGAAGGUUGUUUGUCCAAGCUUGUCCAAGUCAGUUUCAAGAGGCUCAGCCACCAAAAGGUUCAUCAAAGAGGAAAGCCAAGGUCAUCAGUAAAGCCUCUCAAGAGCUACCUGGAACGGGCAGGAAAGAAAAAUGCAGAUAAGAAAAUUAAAACCACAGACUCCUGGGCAGCGAACAAGAGCCUUCUGAUCCUAAUUCGAUCUGGAGUUAAGAAUGAAGGGGGUUUCUGUAGCAGUUUCUUUUGCAUAGCAGAGCUCCGACUUUUCCAGCAACAGCGUGUCCCUGGAAGCUACACAAAGUCCUCUUUGAUUGCCUGUGAUCAAAGCCACGAAGGCUCUCCUGCAACAUCUUAGCUUCAGAAAGCCAGGAAAAUCAGAAUGCUGACAGUAUAUUAAUAAUUCCUAAACAUAUUUUUAAGGUUCUUCAGGCCUGUCUCAGAGCUAUCAAGGAUGCAGCAAAAGGGAUGCCUUUGAUCUGCUGUCUCUGGAUGCACAAGGAGCUCAGAGAAACAACCAGGACACAGAACAAAACAAAGCAUGGAGCUCUAAUUUAGGGGUUUCAGCUAAGCGAGUCACUCAGCACCAGCACUGCACAGGAGUUCUUACAGCUUCCUUUAUGAGAAAGAUUUGUUCUUCUGUUUAUAGGGUAUCAGAGCCAGGAGGGUGGCUGACUCUGAUGAUAGAACAAGAGCCAGAUAUGCUCCUGCUGCUCCAGUAGAGUGGUCUUCAGGUGAUCGAGAUUCCGAGC
Molecule: non-coding RNA, 768 nt
Filed under: Pan troglodytes (chimpanzee)
Lineage: Eukaryota; Metazoa; Chordata; Mammalia; Primates; Hominidae
Source: RNAcentral